UGCGUACCUGCUCAGGAAACCUAAUGAACCGUUUCCAAAUCAUCACGCUCAACCUUCAAUAAAAUAAGUGAACAGAACCUGAAGUCCUGAACUUUUGACUCUAACAGAUCAUCUGUGGUGGGUUAGUUUAUCUGCCCCUCCAACAGUUUGCUCCACAUUAUAUAUUCAUGAGUUGCUGUUCACAGCAGACGUCACCUGGACAGUCGACUCUAGUUGUAAACCACGUUUGACUGCACCAGCUUCCAUGUUCCAGCGUGUGAAUGAUGAAAAGGCCGAGAGGAUUCAUGUACAGACGGACGGCAGCAGUCCAGGACAAUUCUAACAGAAAUGUAGAAACAGGUGAACCUCUGGUCCAGCAGCUUCUUGCUGUAGUAGAUCUGCCAGGCGAGCAGCUGCACAGCGAUAACCAUCAGCAGACGUUCAGAGGAAACGCAGCCCUGCACCAUGAGAAGAGGGGCCGACCCCGGGACCAGGAACUUUAAAACCAGCUGCCGUCCAGCUGACGAGGCCUGAAGGACUCGCUGGUGAAAAGGUAGCAGGUGCGUCAGAUCCUGAGAGGGAACUCACCGUUAUGUCUUUUACACCAAAUAACUUCAUACACAUUAAACACAUUAACAUUCAAACAUGCUUGAAAAAUGUAGAAUGUGUAGAAGAAAACACAGCAGCCUUUCACAAUAAAAUGUAGUUCAGCUGUUUGAA
Long non-coding RNA from Acanthopagrus latus (yellowfin seabream), 699 nucleotides. RefSeq lists it as uncharacterized. The record is from RefSeq and is a predicted model, not a curated record. Lineage: Eukaryota; Metazoa; Chordata; Actinopteri; Spariformes; Sparidae. The transcript is spliced from 6 exons.